UUCUUUCCCACAAAUUUUCUACCAUUUUUUUCCUAGAUAAUUAUUUUUACUACAAAUUAAAACUGUGCAGAUUUGGGUUCCCUCCAUUAUUUCCCACCAUUUUUUUCAAAUACUUUUCACUAUAAAGUUUGGGUUUAAUUCUAAUUUCACAAGUAAACCCUAUAUUCUAAUUCGGUCACUAUUUGAUCUACUGCCAGAAGAUUCGAGGUCACCUUGUUGGCCAUUGGGUUGGAUUUCGAUUACUUCUCCUUGCUGAUUGAGACUGUUCUUUUCAUAUUAAGGCUUUUGCAAGGACUUUUAGCACGUUUGGCGGACCAGGUGGUCCUGAAGCCGGAGCAGAGGCUGCAAUUGGGGACAAUAUUGGUGCCGGAGGAGAAGAAAUAGUUGGUGGCGGUGAAGCCGGAGCAGAAGGUUGAGCUGGAGCCGAAGAUUGAGUUUGUGGCAUUGGAGCCAUAGCAGGCGCUUGAGUAAAAGUGCAAGUGAAUUGGGGCAAGAAAAGAAAGGAAGCAUCUCUUGGUAGACCAACCACUCGUAAAGAGAUACGUAAGAAAGACCCAUAUGAAAAUUAGAAAUGGAAAGAAGUCUGGGUCGAAACACGGGCAUAAGAUACUUGCAACUCAAAAGAAGUCGAUCGACAGAUGACCAAGGCAAUCCAAUCAUGCCAUCAAAGGAAGAAACUCUCUCCUGCUAGAUGGAUGUAGUUGGUGACAUGUGUAAGGAAAGGGCAUACCACCUUUGCUUUGAGAAGAACUUUUACCGUCUUCAGUGUGGAUUGCAAGGUAUAGAGAGUUCUGCCACCAUGUCAGAAGAGCAGCUUGAGGAGAUGCAAUAGAAAGUUCAGGAGCAUUCUAGGAAGUACGAGAGGAAAGAAAAAGAAGGAUGGAGGAGAAGCGGUGUAGGACGACAUUUAAGUCAGAGGUCAAAAAACUCAAGGCUCAAGUAAAUAUCUUAAUCAAGCUUCCUCACUCUUUGCCCCUAGCUCUGAUGAUGAUGGUAGAGAGGAUGAGGAUGGAAUGGAGUAUUAGGUUAUGUUGUUGUUUUAGGUUUGAAUUAUGUUAGGUUGGAAUGUUUGAAAAAAAAUUGUUUUGGUAAUUGUUUGCGUACCUUUUUUAUACUUGUUUA
Long non-coding RNA from Capsicum annuum, 1122 nucleotides. RefSeq lists it as uncharacterized. The transcript has 4 exons. The record is from RefSeq and is a predicted model, not a curated record. NCBI's taxonomy places the organism in Eukaryota, Viridiplantae, Streptophyta, Magnoliopsida, Solanales, Solanaceae.